RNAcentral lists this ribosomal RNA (265 nucleotides) under uncultured bacterium. Its description in RNAcentral is "partial 16S ribosomal RNA". It matches the Rfam family "Bacterial small subunit ribosomal RNA", at positions 793 to 1055 of the family's 1533-position model. The record is from RNAcentral.
GUCCACGCCCUAAACGUUGAGUACUAGGUGUCGGGGGUAUCGACCCCUCCGGUGCCGUAGCUAACGCAUUAAGUACUCCGCCUGGGGACUACGGCCGCAAGGCUAAAACUCAAAGGAAUUGACGGGGGCCCGCACAAGCAGCGGAGCGUGUGGUUUAAUUCGAUGCAACGCGAAGAACCUUACCCAGGCUUGACAUGCACGUGGUAGGGAUCCGAAAGGUGACCGACCCGCAAGGGAGCGUGCACAGGUGCUGCAUGGCUGUCGU